Molecule: non-coding RNA, 379 nt
Organism: Lactuca sativa (garden lettuce)
Lineage: Eukaryota; Viridiplantae; Streptophyta; Magnoliopsida; Asterales; Asteraceae
Source: RefSeq, a predicted model, not a curated record
UUUGUUUCAUUUUCUUCCGUGUUGGAAUCAAGAAUCCCGCCCCUUUCCUUGUACUUAAUUUCUCCUUUAAAGAAGUCUUACAAAGUUGGAUUAUACCAAUCAUUCUCUCUGUUCUUUUCUUAAUUUUGACAGAAAGUAAUCAGAGUGCAGGUCUGGCUAAAUGCUCGUUCAAGCUUGAACACCCAUUAGAGAAGAGGAAAUCGGAAUUCUCUUGCAUCAGAGAGAAGUAUCCAGAUAGAGUUUCAGUGAUUGUUGAGAAAGCUGAAAAAUCUGACAUUCCUAAUAUAGACAAAAAGAAGUAGGGAAAAUGACGUAUAGGCCCUAUAAUGUCUCUAGGGUUGACCCAUUUAGCCAGUUAACUUAUUUUGUGGCUUAAUAA